CUCAGUUAGGUGAUUGGAUUGGCUGCCGGUGAAAAUGAUCGACAGGUGCCCCACCCUGUGACCCCGCCCAAAGUGAGCCGACCUGUGUGUGUGUAGUUGAGCCCCUGCGCGCGCCUGUAAGCAGAGACUGUUACCAAGGAGAACCAAAGCGGGAAGAGUCGCUUCGACGCCUGAAUUUAUAAUGGGUUGGCUUUGAGGAUAAGCUUCAUGACUGACUGUGAAGAAUCAACUAGGUAUUCCUCACCACCUCAGGACAAAAAGGUGGAUGAGUGUGAUGCUAGAGCAAAUACUGGAGCAGGACCUUUUACAAAUCUAGAAGAACCAGAGGCCGAACCAGAGGAACACUCUGUAACUGGUCUGUUAAACCCUGUAAACCACCAGUACUGCCAAGCUAUUCCAGAAAUCAGAGACAACACACCACCAUUUACAGGCUCCUGCUCAGGCCAGUAAGACAGAAUGGUACAUCUCAAAAAGAGUUGUGUGGGAUGCAGUUAUUGGGAGAUAUUUGCAGCCAUUGAAAGCCUAUCAAUGUAAG
RNAcentral lists this long non-coding RNA (535 nucleotides) under Astyanax mexicanus (Mexican tetra). RNAcentral's name for it is "lncRNA (ENSAMXG00005002278.1)". Lineage: Eukaryota; Metazoa; Chordata; Actinopteri; Characiformes; Acestrorhamphidae. The record is from RNAcentral.